GCACGAGUUCAUACUCGUGGCGAAAAGCUCAGUAACACGUGGCCAAACUACCCUACAGAGAACGAUAACCUCGGGAAACUGAGGCUAAUAGUUCAUACGGGAGUCAUGCUGGAAUGCCGACUCCCCGAAACGCUCAGGCGCUGUAGGAUGUGGCUGCGGCCGAUUAGGUAGACGGUGGGGUAACGGCCCACCGUGCCGAUAAUCGGUACGGGUUGUGAGAGCAAGAGCCCGGAGACGGAAUCUGAGACAAGAUUCCGGGCCCUACGGGGCGCAGCAGGCGCGAAACCUUUACACUGCACGCAAGUGCGAUAAGGGGACCCCAAGUGCGAGGGCAUAUAGUCCUCGCUUUUCUCGACUGUAAGGCGGUCGAGGAAUAAGAGCUGGGCAAGACCGGUGCCAGCCGCCGCGGUAAUACCGGCAGCUCAAGUGAUGACCGAUAUUAUUGGGCCUAAAGCGUCCGUAGCCGGCCACGAAGGUUCAUCGGGAAAUCCGCCAGCUCAACUGGCGGGCGUCCGGUGAAAACCACGUGGCUUGGGACCGGAAGGCUCGAGGGGUACGUCCGGGGUAGGAGUGAAAUCCCGUAAUCCUGGACGGACCACCGAUGGCGAAAGCACCUCGAGAAGACGGAUCCGACGGUGAGGGACGAAAGCUAGGGUCUCGAACCGGAUUAGAUACCCGGGUAGUCCUAGCUGUAAACGAUGCUCGCUAGGUGUGACACAGGCUACGAGCCUGUGCUGUGCCGUAGGGAAGCCGAGAAGCGAGCCGCCUGGGAAGUACGUCCGCAAGGAUGAAACUUAAAGGAAUUGGCGGGGGAGCACUACAACCGGAGGAGCCUGCGGUUUAAUUGGACUCAACGCCGGACAUCUCACCAGCUCCGACUACAGUGAUGACGAUCAGGUUGAUGACCUUAUCACGACGCUGUAGAGAGGAGGUGCAUGGCCGCCGUCAGCUCGUACCGUGAGGCGUCCUGUUAAGUCAGGCAACGAGCGAGACCCGCACUUCUAAUUGCCAGCAGCAGU
RNAcentral lists this ribosomal RNA (1019 nucleotides) under Haloferax volcanii. Its description in RNAcentral is "bacterial SSU rRNA". It matches the Rfam family "Archaeal small subunit ribosomal RNA", at positions 60 to 1077 of the family's 1478-position model. Lineage: Archaea; Methanobacteriati; Methanobacteriota; Halobacteria; Halobacteriales; Haloferacaceae. The record is from RNAcentral.